RNAcentral lists this ribosomal RNA (330 nucleotides) under Triticum aestivum (bread wheat). Its description in RNAcentral is "partial small subunit ribosomal RNA". The record is from RNAcentral. Lineage: Eukaryota; Viridiplantae; Streptophyta; Magnoliopsida; Poales; Poaceae.
AUGGCGUCCAGGCGGUCCGCCGCCGUCGUCUCCUUCCUCUACGGCCCUCGGAUCGUCUCCAGGCCGCCGCCAGCGCUCGCCACCGGACCACAUCCCCGGAGCACCGCCGCCUCGACCUCGCCCGUCCUCGUCCUCCUCCCCGAGCCCGCUUAUGCACAUUUGCAGGGCCCGACCCCGAGAUCGUUGCUGAUGCCACUGAGUACGACUACGAUGUUGACGACCCCUCCUUCUUGCCAGAGCAAUCAGGAUCCAGACACCACCGUCGACGACGACUACUACUCUGGAGGUGCCUACUACUAUGUGCAGGCCGCUGACGAUGACCAGGAGUAG